This 212-nucleotide ribosomal RNA is filed under the name uncultured Anaerolineaceae bacterium. RNAcentral's name for it is "partial 16S ribosomal RNA". It matches the Rfam family "Bacterial small subunit ribosomal RNA", at positions 1175 to 1382 of the family's 1533-position model. The record is from RNAcentral. Lineage: Bacteria; Bacillati; Chloroflexota; Anaerolineae; Anaerolineales; Anaerolineaceae.
UGGGAUGACGUCAAGUCAGCAUGGCCUUUAUAUCCUGGGCUACACACACGCUACAAUGGGAAGGGACAAUAGGUUGCGAAGCCGCGAGGCGGAGCCAAUCCAGCAAAACUUCCCUCAGUUCAGAUUGCAGGCUGCAACCCGCCUGCAUGAAGUUGGAGUUGCUAGUAAACGCAGGUCAGCCAUACUGCGUUGAAUACCGGUUCCCGGGGCUU